CGUGCCAGCAGCCGCGGUAAUACGGAGGGGGUUAGCGUUGUUCGGAAUUACUGGGCGUAAAGCGCACGUAGGCGGACUGGAAAGUUGGGGGUGAAAUCCCGGGGCUCAACCUCGGAACUGCCUCCAAAACUACUAGUCUAGAGUUCGAGAGAGGUGAGUGGAAUUCCGAGUGUAGAGGUGAAAUUCGUAGAUAUUCGGAGGAACACCAGUGGCGAAGGCGGCUCACUGGCUCGAUACUGACGCUGAGGUGCGAAAGUGUGGGGAGCAAACAGGAUUAGAUACCCUGGUAGUCCACACCGUAAACGAUGAAUGCCAGUCGUCGGCAAGCAUGCUUGUCGGUGACACACCUAACGGAUUAAGCAUUCCGCCUGGGGAGUACGGUCGCAAGAUUAAAACUCAAAGGAAUUGACGGGG
Molecule: ribosomal RNA, 414 nt
Filed under: uncultured bacterium
Lineage: Bacteria
Description: bacterial SSU rRNA
Rfam family: Bacterial small subunit ribosomal RNA
Source: RNAcentral